CUGGCGCGCAAUAGGGGUAGCUUUGCCUUGGGCGCAAGAGGUUCCCGGUUCGAAUCCGGGCGCCCAGACCA
This 71-nucleotide transfer RNA is filed under the name Acidobacteriota bacterium. Its description in RNAcentral is "Acidobacteria bacterium tRNA-Pro". Lineage: Bacteria; Pseudomonadati; Acidobacteriota. The record is from RNAcentral.